Molecule: ribosomal RNA, 2511 nt
Filed under: Geocharax gracilis
Lineage: Eukaryota; Metazoa; Arthropoda; Malacostraca; Decapoda; Parastacidae
Description: eukaryotic LSU rRNA
Rfam family: Eukaryotic large subunit ribosomal RNA
Source: RNAcentral
ACUUCGUGUUCUCACAUGGGUUUCACGAGGGGUGUUGCGUUUCGGAGGGUCCAGCACGCCGCCCCAUACCGUCCAAGUCAAGCACGAAAGCGGCCACUACCCAGGGAGGGUGUCAGGCCCGUGCGGCGGCGCCCGCGAGGGCACACAUGGCGCGGUCGGAAAGGGCCUCUCUGUAGAGUCGGGUUGCUUAAUAAUGCAGCCCAAAGCAGGUGGUAAACUCCAUCUAAGGCUGAAUAUUACCACGAGACCGAUAGCGAACAAGUACCGUGAGGGAAAGUUGAAAAGAACUUUGAAGAGAGAGUUCAAGAGUACGUGAAACCGUUAAGAGCCAAACGGAUGGAACCUCGAAGGUCGAAGUGGGGGGAUUCAGCUCGUCGGCCGUCAGCUGGUGUUUCGCGGAGACGUUAACUCGAAGCCACCCAAGAGAGCUUGGGUGUGCCCCUUACCCACGCUGGCGUCGGCGGGCGUAUUUCGCCUCGUAGUAGGGCGCCGCGACCCGUCGCUUGGGGACGUCGAAGGCCCGGACGGAAUGGUACCUUGCCUUCGGACUGGCCCUUCCUCUUUCCUGCGGGGCCGGUUUGAGGGGGUGAGCGAAACCGCCGGUGUAUGAUUUCCUGACUGCCCUGCGACGGUCGUGAAGAUGAGCCCCUGCUUCCACUCAUCCCUCUCUCUCUGUAUCUCUUUCUCCUCGUAGGAAGGGGUUGGAGGGCCAGGGUGGUAUUUGGUCGUGCGGGGCUCUCGCGGCGUGUAAACAGAUCGGUGAUCCAUCCGACCCGUCUUGAAACACGGACCAAGGAGUCUAACAUGUGUGCGAGUCAUUGGGCGAACUAAACCCAAAGGCGUAAUGAAAGUGACGACGAGUCCGGCGUCCCCAGGGAGCCGGACCCGGGGCAGAUCCUCAUGCGGAUUGCCUCCCUAACUGAAACAACAACCACCUCCUCUGUCUCACCGGGUGAGCUAUUAUCCCUGGCCGAGGCAUGCUAGGGUGGAUGGAACCGUUGGUUUUGGAGUGCGAAGGUUGUGUGCGAGUAACAUCGCGCGCAUGAUAUCCUGUCCGCAGGCGUGGCGCACGCCCGGGACUUGCCAGGACGCCGCCGGGCCCCCGCAUUCGACGGCUGCGAGGCCUUCGAAGCUCUGCUUCAGGCCGUGGCAGUGCGGUGGUCAUCACGCGUGCAGUCGGCAAGUACCAUGAGCAGGCAUGUUAGCACCCGAAAGAUGGUGAACUAUGCCUGGCCAGGAUGAAGCCAGAGGAAACUCUGGUGGAGGUCCGCAGCGAUUCUGACGUGCAAAUCGAUCGUCUGAGCUGGGUAUAGGGGCGAAAGACCAAUCGAACCAUCUAGUAGCUGGUUCCCUCUGAAGUUUCCCUCAGGAUAGCUGGAACUCGGGAGAAAGGAGGAAUUUCAUCCGGUAAAGCGAAUGAUUAGAGGUGUUGGGGACGGAAGGUCCUCAACCUAUUCUCAAACUUUAAAUGGGUGAGACGCCGAGCUUGCUUGAACGCUGAUGAUUGAUGAAGCUCCGGCGACUAAUCCGUGUGUCUAGUGGGCCAUUUUUGGUAAGCAGAACUGGCGCUGUGGGAUGAACCAAACGUCGAGUUAAGGGGCCUAAGCGAAUGCUAAUUCUGAUCCCAUCAAAAGGCGUUGGUUGCUACAGACAGCAGGGCGGUGGCCAUGGAAGUUGGAAUCCGCUUAGGAGUGUGUAACAACUCACCUGCCGAAGCAACUAACACUUAAAAUGGUAUGGCGCUCAAGCAUUCUCCCGAUACUCGACCGCCGGGGCACUAGCGGCCACGCCCCACCACAGGCGAGGUCUCGAAGCCCCGGUGAGUAAGAGGGUCGCGGUGGUGAGCGCUGAAGGGUCACGGCGUGGGCCGGCCUGGAGCCGCCACUGGUGCGGAUCUUGGUGGUAGUAGCAAAUAAUCAAGAGAGACUCCCUUGAUGACCGAUGAGGGGAAGGGUUCCAUGUGAACAUCAGUUGGACAUGGGUUAGUCGCUCCUAAGCCCAAGGCUAACGCCUGAUCCUACGCUAGCGGGAACGACCAACGGCUACGGCCAAAGGCCCAUCCGCUAGGGCAAACAACCUUCCUACACGUAAGAGGAGACUUGCACAUGCCCGAUCGCCCGACGUGCUCGGAUCAGCGUCCUCCAAGACGAAGACCGCGGAGAGUCGAGAAUACGGGACACAGACAGACCCAGUGUAUCGUUGUUGCCCGUGGAUCAGUGGCGAAAGGGAAUACGGUACUUAUUCCGUAACCUGGACUCGGACACAUGGCAGGCGCAAGCGCCCUUCUUCGCAAGGGAAUGCUGCUGCCCUGUUGAGGACCCCGGCAACGGGAACCAGCUCGCACCCAUCGGCGGUGGUCCGGGAAAGAGUUUUCUUUUCUGUUUAAGGCGCCGUGACCCUGUAAGCCAUUCUCAGAGAGAAAGGGUGUGGGUCAGUUGGUUAGCCGUAGAGCGCCGCGGUUCUUGCGGCGUCCCGCGUGCCACCGCCGGUCCGUGAAACUGCGAGUGAGGU